This 1470-nucleotide ribosomal RNA is filed under the name metagenome. Its description in RNAcentral is "bacterial LSU rRNA". It matches the Rfam family "Bacterial large subunit ribosomal RNA", at positions 1460 to 2925 of the family's 2925-position model. The record is from RNAcentral.
GAUGAUGUGGGGACGGAUCUUAAUAGGUCAUCCGGGUGUUGGAUAUCCCGGUUUAGGCAGAUGUAGGCGACAGGUAGGCAAAUCCGCCUGUCAUAUACCGAGGCUGCCGAUCGAGCGAGCUUGCUCGCGAAGUGAUUGAACGAGGUUCCAGGAAAAGCCACUAAGCUUCAGCUACACACGACCGUACCGCAAACCGACACUGGUGCGCGAGAUGAGUAUUCUAAGGCGCUUGAGAGAACUCGGGAGAAGGAACUCGGCAAAUUGACACCGUAACUUCGGAAGAAGGUGUGCCCUAGUAGUGUGAAGUGAACAACGGAGCAUGAAUGGGUUGCAAAAAAUCGGUGGCUGCGACUGUUUAUUAAAAACACAGCACUCUGCAAACACGAAAGUGGACGUAUAGGGUGUGACGCCUGCCCGGUGCUGGAAGAUUAAAUGAUGGGGUGCAAGCUCUUGAUUGAAGUCCCAGUAAACGGCGGCCGUAACGAUAACGGUCCUAAGGUAGCGAAAUUCCUUGUCGGGUAAGUUCCGACCUGCCGAAUGGCGUAACGAUGGCCACACUGUCUCCUCCCGAGACUCAGCGAAGUUGAAAUGUUUGUGAUGAUGCAAUCUCCCCGCGGAAAGACGGAAAGACCCCAUGAACCUUUACUGUAGCUUUGUAUUGGACUUUGAACAGAUCUGUGUAGGAUAGGUGGGAGGCUUUGAAGCAGGGUCGCUAGAUCUUGUGGAGCCAACGUUGAAAUACCACCCUGGUGUGUUUGAGGUUCUAACCUAGGUCCAUUAUCUGGAUCGGGGACAGUGCAUGGUAGGCAGUUUGACUGGGGCGGUCUCCUCCCAAAGCGUAACGGAGGAGUUCGAAGGUACGCUAGUUACGGUCGGACAUCGUGACGAUAGUGCAAUGGCAUAAGCGUGCUUAACUGCGAGACUGACAAGUCGAGCAGAUGCGAAAGCAGGACAUAGUGAUCCGGUGGUUCUGUAUGGAAGGGCCAUCGCUCAACGGAUAAAAGGUACUCUGGGGAUAACAGGCUGAUACCGCCCAAGAGUUCAUAUCGACGGCGGUGUUUGGCACCUCGAUGUCGGCUCAUCUCAUCCUGGGGCUGUAGCCGGUCCCAAGGGUAUGGCUGUUCGCCAUUUAAAGAGGUACGUGAGCUGGGUUUAAAACGUCGUGAGACAGUUUGGUCCCUAUCUUCCGUGGGCGCUGCAGAUUUGAGGAAGCCUGCUCCUAGUACGAGAGGACCGGAGUGGACGCACCUCUGGUGUAUCGGUUGUCACGCCAGUGGCAUUGCCGAGUAGCUAUGUGCGGAAGAGAUAACCGCUGAAAGCAUCUAAGCGGGAAACUCGUUCCAAGAUGAGAUCUGCCGGGGCCUUGAGCCCCCUAAAGAGUCGUUCAAGACCAGGACGUUGAUAGGUCAGGUGUGGAAGCGCAGUAAUGCGUUAAGCUAACUGAUACUAAUUGCUCGUGCGGCUUGACCG